Molecule: long non-coding RNA, 4901 nt
Organism: Podarcis muralis (Common wall lizard)
Lineage: Eukaryota; Metazoa; Chordata; Lepidosauria; Squamata; Lacertidae
Source: RefSeq, a predicted model, not a curated record
GCCGCCUGCUGGGAUUCAGAGCCGCGGCUGCUCUUUCUUUCGGAGGCCGGUGGCGUGAGCUAGUGAGGGCCAGUUCCUUCCCCCUGACCACCCAGGCUGGCCGGGGCUGCUUCCCCCACCCCGCCCCGCUCGCAGGCAUUUCCUUCCGCAGGUGUAGCGGCAGCAUUGUGCUGUGUGUCAUCACCUCCGCUAGACUGCAGAGCCCUCCCUUCCCAAGCCUGGAAAGGCGGCGGCGGCGGCGGCAACAGAGGCAAGCGCGCUCGGCCAAAGGGUGGCUUUCUGGGGAGUCUCUCUUUCUCUCUCCUCACACGCUUCAGUGGGAUCUGACAGGAAAUCAGAAACUCAGGAGGAGGAGGGCUGAAAUGGCGAAGAAGGUGAGGGGACAGCCGUGGGUGUCUCUGCCCAGCGCGCAGGGCUGACACGGAAUGACUGGCGGGGGUCACUGUUUCGCUCAAGGAAAAUCUUUCCUUGCUCCCUCUCCUCUUCCUGCAGACUGGCAGCCAGCCCCUGCUUGGCAAGCCUUCCUGAGGAUAUUGAUAUUAUUAUUAUUAUUUUAAAAAAUAAUGGUAGGAUCCAUCCAGCUUAGCUUUUCCAGAAGCAAUCUAGUUGUUUAUGGAAUAGGUUGGAUCCGAAGGAAGUGACAGCGCAUGUCUACUCAGGAGCAAGCCCCGCUGAAGCCAACUAGGCUUACUCCCAGGUCAGGGAGCAGCAAGGUCUGCAGCUGAACUCGAGACUGACUUUCUCCGCAGGUUUCUUGGGGAACUAAGCGCCGCUUCCAGUACAAUCUACUGAGCAUGCCUACUGCAGAGUAAGCCACACUGAGGUCAAUAGGACUUACUCCCAGACAAGACUCAAGAAAUGCAAGGCAAAGUGAAGCGGCUGCAAUACCAAAAGCGUGAAGGAUCCUGAAAACCUAUUAAGAUCAAUUCCUUAUUGAACGGAGGCUAUUGCCCUUAAAAAAAACCACAACCGUUUCCAGGGGUGGCUUCGAGGAUAACCAGCGAAUUUGGACCAUUCAGAUUAAAUUUCUCACACAUUGACGGCUAAGGCACAAUGGAAGUUCUUUACCAUAUCUCAUUUCUUUCAUCUCAUGUUUUUGUUAAAAGAUGACAUGGCGGGUUAAAUGACAGAAAACACGGAUAUAGUAGAAAUUACCGAAAAGAACAAGCCCGCUUUGAACAUCCUCAAAAUUCCUCGACAGGUAAAGAAAUGAAAUCUUAUGAUGGUAAUGAAUUCACCUUGUGGGGAAAUCAAUGAUUUUUAUAAACUCAUUUUAAACAAUUAUUUUAAUUUAUGAAGGCUAAGACACCGAGAGUAUAACAAACAGAUCGUCGACACCACUGUAACGUAAUCUAUAUCUGAAUUCAGAGGGUACAACGACAGCAACUAGCCUGGCCACUGGAUCAAAUAAUAUUUCAACCUGAGCCAAGAAGUCCCAUCUUUUCCGCACGUUUGAGUUUGUGGUUAAAGUUAGCCAGUCUUUCCCUGGCUUACCAACUCUUGCCUGGUAAGGCGAAAUAUACCAGAACAAAACUCAGCAGGGAAAUAUUCCUUUACAUUUAAAUUCUUUGUUUUAUUUUUUCUUAAAAGAUAAUUUUGUCUUAUUUUUGCCUUUUAAAAAUACAUGCCAAUCAGAGCCGACCGGUGUCUUUGUUUCAUAUCAUCUUGAUCAACUGAACAGUUUCGAUUCUAGGCUGAAAGAAACAUAUAUUUUUCUCUUUUUUUAACCUUUUAACUCUGGUGGAUGUUGUAGCUAUGCCCCCCUCCCUCCCGAAACGGACGAUCAGCUAGGGAAGCCGGUUCCUCUCUCUCUAUUCCACGUAAAGGUUAUUCUGACUCCAACGGAAUAAAUAUGAAGGGAAGUACAGAGGUCGCUUCCCCGAAACCUACAGAGCUCUCUUCACAAUGGCCCGCUUCCCCAAAGCCUCUUUUGUUUAAUUUUCGGAAGCUCCUACCGAAGCCAUUUGUCUCGUCCUCAAGCGGCCCGACUCGAAGAAAAACAGAAUACUUCAAUUUCAACUUUUGCCAGGCACACACAAGCGUGUAAACAUACUUCCCUCUCUCUUUUUUUCCUUUUGGAGAGAGACUGUGAAAGGGCGGCUACAAAUUACACAACACAAGAUCCUCUCGGAAAAUUUCAAAAGAGGUGGGUGGGAAGAAGAAGAAGCUGACCGUGGGGUAACUGGAUCUCUUCCCCUUCCCCCACCCCCGCUCCACCAAGGGAAACGUCUUUGCGGAUCCCUCGAUCACCUACUUCUCGCUUGCCACUUUCCGGCCUGGUUUCAUGCAACUUGUCAAUUUCACACCAAUUCCGAGGGAGGAGAGGAACCCUGCCCUUCUGAAGCCCUCGUUCCCUACCUCAAUCUGUUAAGAAUGAACCGAGCCUUGCACAGAUUGACCCCCAGCAAGAUGAAACGGCGGAGAAUGUGAUCUCCUUCGUUCCCAAGAAGAAAAGCCGUGGGGUUGCUGUUUGGAGGUACCUACCUCCUCCCCUCCCCUAUUUCCUAUUUUCAGCAGGCUUGCGGCAUCAACAGUUUCGAGAAUUGAUUUAUCUUGAAACAGUCUUUACAGAAGUCGGUCUCUCCCACCCGCCCCUUAUAAACUCGCCAUGCUUUAUUUAAAGAUCCUGGAUUAUUUGUUCCAAUAACAAUUGGGGAAAGAAACAGGCAUACACAUAAACAUGGCAUUUUAGGCACUGUUCUUUCCUCUAAAAGUAAUGAGACCAAAGGAAAUAAAGUUUGGGAACUGGAAGGGACAGCUUUUCUGGAAGGAGGGAUUUUGCAUCAGGUUCAGAUUGGUUUUUCACAAGAUUAAUAAUAAUAAUAAUAAUAAUAAUAAUAAUAAGUUUAUUAUUUAUACCACACUUUUAGGGUUCUCCUAAAGAGACUACCGGUAAGGCUUGAUUAUAACCCACAUAUAUGCACACACAUUUAUUUAUGCAUUACAUGCAAAACAAUACAUUGUACAUGUUUGCCCAUGUGGUGGUGGUGGUGGGAAACAGGCAGUAUAUGCAUAUAGAAGUAUAGCCGGAGCAUUGCAAAGACAGAUCCAUAAAUAGGAACACCAAAAAGGAAUAUGCGGCCACACUGAAAAUGGUAUUUUGAGUGUUCAAAUUGAGUUACUGACAUGCAAAUUAUGCUCAGGCCUCAGAUGAGUAAUUUAAUUGAGGAUUUUCAAUGUGUGCAUUUAUUUAAUCAACCAGGCAUCUAAUCAGCCAAAAUCAACAAUCACUUGAGAUGCUUGCAUGUUAUGUGCAUCUAGGUGUCAUUAUCACCUACCUAAACAGGCCUCCCAAACAUAUAAUGAUACAACCUUAUUUAUGCAAAUUGCCUGAUGGAAUGGCUUUCUUUUUGUUCUUUCGUUAGUAAACAAAAAUGGUAGAAAUGGAAAAGCUGUUUAUUUGAAAAUCCUUUUCAGAAUAUAGUAUUUGUUUGAUUAACUGCAGUUCUGUAGUACACCUAUGAUACUGUGUGAGUUUCUUCAUACGUGUCUACACACAUACCAUAAAAUCACACAGUAGAAAGAAGUCCAGUCACCCAGUCCUGACUACAGAACAGGACUAUGCAAUCCUAUGCAGUCUAUGCAAUCCAAACUUACAACAUGCCAUGAAUAAAGAACAGGCGCAUCUCACAAAGAUGCUACCAGCCCAUGCACCCCAAAUUACUGAGAGCUGCUUCCCAUACCAAACAAGAACAAAACAAACACUGCAAUCCUAUGUAUGUCUACUCAGAAGGAAACUCACUGAGUUCAAUGGGACUUAUUGCCUGGUAAAUGGAUAUAUGAUUGCUGCCUAUGGAUUUCAGGAUAUCCUGUAGUAAUCUAUAACUGUCUUGAAGUCCUUGAAUCAUUUUUUAACUCACCCAAACAAACAUUACUCUUUAGUUGUGUCAUUCAUAAAUUGUUGCAUUACAUGAGGGGAACUAGUCAGCUGAGCAUUAAAAAACCCCAAGCAAACUUUAAUAUACUUGGGUGGGGUUUUUUUGGUUGCAAAAUCAGGGAUUGAUAACCUGUGGCUCCAAAUGUUGUUGGACUACAGCUCCCAUCAUCCCUAACCAUUGUCUAGGCUGGCUGCGGCUGAUGAGAGUUGGAGCCCAACAUUUGGAUAGCCACACUUAGUCAGGCCUGGUCAAAAUCUUCAACCCCCCAGAAUCCAAAUCAAACUUUGUUCUACAUCACUGUUGAACCCAUAUAUCUGCAUUCAGGUUGAUUAGCUCUUGGGGGAGCAAGUCCUGUUAAUUCAUAGGCAGCAGCAGAAAUCAAUGGGAUUUCCCCCCACAUACUGUAUUACUGUAGUCACACUGUACAUUUAAAGCACACAUAAAGCACAUGGCUUUAGGGACUGCAGCAUCCUCAGCAGAUUACAAUUUCCCAGGAUUCUUUGGGAGAAGCCAUGUGCUUUACAUGUAGGGUGUGAUGGUUGUAUGGGGUAGAAAUGCACAUGCCAACACUAAUCAGAUUCAGUUGGAGCCCAGAUUAUUGUCACUGGUUCAGGGCAAAAAUGCUUAGGGAUGGGAUGCCUUUGCUAUCAACUUCAUAAUGGAAUUAAACAGGCUCCAGGAGUCUAAGCGCUUGGCUUAAUUGCACUGCAGAUCACACUGUUGGAAUGCUGGGGUAUUUAAAUGCAUGUCUUCCAGCGAGUAUAAGCUGUAUGCUUCCCCAUGCACACCCAGAUGAAAUAAGAACUGUUCCGUUCUCUGAGUUUUGCAUUGGAGAAUAUCCUAGUAUAUCUGAUCUAUUGAAGUCCAUGAGUAUUUUGCUAUUGAAGUCAAAGAGCUGUGCAUUGUGCACUAAGGCUCAUGCUUUUAACAAAUUCCCUACAGUCUUUUUGCAAAGGUUGUUGUUUCCCACUGUUAAUCCCUGAUAAAGUUUUCCUGCUCUAUAAAUAUAAUUUGUGAAAGUGA